AUAUUCUGCCCUAUGAAUAUUUAAAUGGCUGCAGUAUUUUGACUGUACAAAGGUAGCAUAAUAAUUAGUUUUUUAAUUGAGGACUGGAAUGAAUGAUUAAAUAGGAGAUUAGUUUUAUUAGGAUUAUUUUUAUAAUUUUAUUUUUAGGUAAAAAAGCUUAAUUACUUUUUUGGGACGAAAAGACCCUAUAGAACUUUAUUUAUUAUUUUAAAAAUUUUUUUAAGUAUUUAUUUAUUUAAAUUUAAUAAAUUUUAUUGGGGUGAUUAAUAAAUUAAACUUUAUUUUUAAAAUUCAUUAAUUUAUGAUUUUGUUGACUUAAUAGAUUAUUUAAAGAUAAAGUUACCUUAGGGAUAACAGCGUAAUUUUUAUGGGGAGUUCAUAUCUAUAUAAUAGUUUGCGACCUCGAUGUUGAAUUAAGAUGAGUUUUUGAAGCAGAAUUUAUUUUAACUAAGUCUGUUCGACUUUUAAAUUCUU
RNAcentral lists this ribosomal RNA (474 nucleotides) under Typhlocyba serrata. RNAcentral's name for it is "partial 16S ribosomal RNA". The record is from RNAcentral. Lineage: Eukaryota; Metazoa; Arthropoda; Insecta; Hemiptera; Cicadellidae.